ACUAUUGAUACCAUGGUAUUGCUGGCUUGCAGGUAGCUUGACACUCAUGCACUUGAUUCAAGGAUCGUGAUGGUGUGUGAAGGCUCGAUUAGUAAUCGAGACAAACGGCCUAGCAGGUCUGCACCCAGCAGGUAAUCGCUGUCAUUCUGCAACACUACUACGACCUUAGGUUCAUGGCCCGCACAGAUAGGAGGCGUUGGUUGGUGGGAUGGUUUCGAGAUCCUCACUUUGGUCCAACCUUUUCCUGAUUCCGCACAGCAGGUUGUUUAUGAUGGUGGAUGUGAGUUCACCUGCCGGCGGGGCUCAUUGCAGAAGCAGCCAGUAGGAGUCGUUUGACAUUAUUGAUUAACAGCUCUAGAACCAAAUCUCUAUGUCUUACAAAAGAGAGUUCUGUAACCACUGAAUUAUUUCUUGCAACUACAGUCUACCGUUGCAUCUAAAGUUCACCAAUCAGAGGUAUUAAACAACAAAGGUACAUGGCACUAAUUGAAGGAUUCCAGAUAAGUUAUCUUCACUAAACAUUCUUCAAUAUAUUCCUGGAAUGUUUCUGCAUGGUACCCUGUCACAAACAUAGUUGAUGUAUAUGCACAGAAUGCCGGAUACUAAAAUAAAGAGUGCUAGCUGGAUGCCAAGAUUUACUGGAUGGUUUGAUGUUUUGCCAGGUAUAAUGACAGUUCACUCAGCACGGUGACGAUGUAUCCCGAACCCUCAUCAUCGCUUGAUAAUUUCGGAUGCCAAGACCUGCGUAAAGAGGUUGAAGGGCUUUGGUCUUCAAAAGAAGAACAUCCACAUCUCCGCUUGUUUAGGCUAGCUGUAUCAGAUGCUUCCUCACAACAGGAGUAUUUAAUCCAGAGCCAACUAAUAACAGCAGCAAGAGUAACUUUAAUCUGUCAUGUGCACAUGGAGGGUGAUUCGUUGAACAAAACCACAUGAUGGCCAACAUUGAGUUUUACGACCAUUCACGACACAUGGCAAUCCAAAAACAACAGUCAAAGAUUAAGAUUGAGAACGGAAUCAGAAUUGGGAUUGGGGAUAUGGGGUUGAGUUGACUUUGGUCAGAGUUGACCAAAAAGUCAACGGUUGACCAAAGUCAACAGUUGGUCAACACACUCAUUCUUUGUAUUUUUUCCUGUAAUGA
Molecule: long non-coding RNA, 1138 nt
Organism: Lathyrus oleraceus (garden pea)
Lineage: Eukaryota; Viridiplantae; Streptophyta; Magnoliopsida; Fabales; Fabaceae
Exons: 3
Source: RefSeq, a predicted model, not a curated record